GUCGGUAAAACUCGUGCCAGCCACCGCGGUUAUACGGGAGGCCCAAGUUGUUAGAAGUCGGCGUAAAGGGUGGUUAAGAAUAAACUAGAACUAAAGCCGAACGCCUUCCGGGCUGUUAUACGCAUCCGAAGGUAAGAAGUUCAAUUACGAAAGUAGCUUUAUAUUUUCUGAACCCACGAAAGCUGAGACACAAACUGGGAUUAGAUACCCCACUAUG
This 217-nucleotide ribosomal RNA is filed under the name Stenotomus caprinus (longspine porgy). RNAcentral describes it as "partial small subunit ribosomal RNA". It matches the Rfam family "Bacterial small subunit ribosomal RNA", at positions 492 to 794 of the family's 1533-position model. Lineage: Eukaryota; Metazoa; Chordata; Actinopteri; Spariformes; Sparidae. The record is from RNAcentral.